UGGUUAAUGAGAUAUUACUAACCCCCGCCU
This 30-nucleotide non-coding RNA is filed under the name Mus musculus (house mouse). Lineage: Eukaryota; Metazoa; Chordata; Mammalia; Rodentia; Muridae. The record is from RNAcentral.